This is a long non-coding RNA of Cyprinus carpio (common carp), 1035 nucleotides long. The record is from Ensembl. Lineage: Eukaryota; Metazoa; Chordata; Actinopteri; Cypriniformes; Cyprinidae.
CCCACAGAGGGCUCCCGAUCCCCAGUUCAGCCCACGGAGGGCUCCCGAUCCCGAGUUAAGCCCAGGGAGGGCUCCAGAUCCCCCGUUAAGCCCAAGGAUGGCUCCAGGCCCCGAGUACAGCCCCGUAAAUUCCCCCAAGUAUUUUUUUUGGGGGGGUCUGGGGUUAGUAGGGAUCCAGCCUUAGAGGCUGCUUUGCCAUGGCCUCCCGAGUCUCCUGAUCCACCAUGGCCUCCCGAGUCUCCUGAUCCACCAUGGCCUCCCGAGUCUCCUGAUCCACCAUGGCCUCCCGAGUCUUCUGAUCCACCAUGGCCUCCCGAGUCUUCUGAUCCACCAUGGCCUCCCGAGUCUCCUGAUCCACCAUGGCCUCCCGAGUCUCCUGAUCCACCAUGGCCUCCCGAGUCUCCUGAUCCGCCAUGGCCUCCCGAGUCUUCUGAUCCACCAUGGCCUCCCGAGUCUUCUGAUCCACCAUGGCCUCCCGAGUCUCCUGAUCCACCAUGGCCUCCCGAGUCUCCUGAUCCACCAUGGCCUCCCGAGUCUCCUGAUCCACCAUGGCCUCCCGAGUCUCCUGAUCCACCAUGGCCUCCCGAGUCUCCUGAUCCACCAUGGCCUCCCGAGUCUCCUGAUCCACCAUGGCCUCCCGAGUCUCCUGAUCCACCAUGGCCUCCCGAGUCUCCUGAUCCACCAUGGCCUCCCGAGUCUCCUGAUCCACCAUGGCCUCCCGAGUCUCCUGAUCCACCAUGGCCUCCCGAGUCUCCUGAUCCACCAUGGCCUCCCGAGUCUCCUGAUCCACCAUGGCCUCCCGAGUCUCCUGAUCCACCAUGGCCUCCCGAGUCUCCUGAUCCACCAUGGCCUCCCGAGUCUCCUGAUCCGCCGAGUCUCCAGAUCCGCCAUGGCCUCCCGAGUCUCCAGAUCCACCAUGGCUUCCCGAGUCUCCUGAUCCGCCGAGUCUCCAGAUCCGCCAUGGCCUCCCGAGUCUCCAGAUCCGCCAUGGCCUCCCAAGUCUCCAGAUCCGCCAUGGCCUCCAGAGUCUUCUGA